This 335-nucleotide unclassified non-coding RNA is filed under the name Hevea brasiliensis (rubber tree). The record is from RNAcentral. Lineage: Eukaryota; Viridiplantae; Streptophyta; Magnoliopsida; Malpighiales; Euphorbiaceae.
AGCUAGCAAAGAAACUAUCCUGUAGCUUUCCCGUCAGAAUUACUGGCUUCAAAGAAUCAUACAUUCCAAAAUACAGACCACGGUAUACAAUGAUGCCAACGCAUGAAAUGUUAAAUCCACGGUAAAGACCUGCAAUACCAUCUGAUUGCAUAGUCUUUCUGUACACAUCAAUCAAACCAUUGAAUUGCCUCUCCCCUCCCUUCUUUGCAGCUUUAGCAUCAUUUGCCAGCCGGGUUCUAGCAUAAUCCAAAGAGUAGACAAAGAGCAGGGAAGAGGCACCAGCAGCUCCACCAGAUGCCAAGUUACCAGCGAACCACUUCCAGUAGCCAUCACGG